UGGGGAAUCUUAGACAAUGGGCGCAAGCCUGAUCUAGCCAUGCCGCGUGAGUGAAGAAGGCCUUAGGGUCGUAAAGCUCUUUCGCCUGUGAUGAUAAUGACAGUAGCAGGUAAAGAAACCCCGGCUAACUCCGUG
RNAcentral lists this ribosomal RNA (135 nucleotides) under uncultured marine bacterium. RNAcentral's name for it is "partial 16S ribosomal RNA". It matches the Rfam family "Bacterial small subunit ribosomal RNA", at positions 355 to 507 of the family's 1533-position model. The record is from RNAcentral.